UGAGGAAUAUUGGUCAAUGGGCGAGAGCCUGAACCAGCCAAGUCGCGUGAAGGAAGACAGUCCUAAGGAUUGUAAACUUCUUUUAUACGGGAAUAACGGGCGAUACGAGUAUUGCAUUGAAUGUACCGUAAGAAUAAGCAUCGGCUAACUCCGUGCCAGCAGCCGCGGUAAUACGGAGGAUGCGAGCGUUAUCCGGAUUUAUUGGGUUUAAAGGGUGCGUAGGUUGUUCGGUAAGUCAGCGGUGAAACCUGAGCGCUCAACGUUCAGCCUGCCGUUGAAACUGCCGGGCUUGGGUUCAGUGGCGGCAGGCGGAAUUCGGGGUGUAGAGGUGAAAUGCAUAGAUAUCACGAGGAACUCCGAUUGCGAAGGCAGCUUGCCAUACUGCGACUGACACUGAAGCACGAAGGCGUGGGUAUCAAACAGG
This 424-nucleotide ribosomal RNA is filed under the name Fusobacteriota bacterium. RNAcentral describes it as "Fusobacteria bacterium partial 16S ribosomal RNA". It matches the Rfam family "Bacterial small subunit ribosomal RNA", at positions 355 to 776 of the family's 1533-position model. The record is from RNAcentral. Lineage: Bacteria; Fusobacteriati; Fusobacteriota.